RNAcentral lists this ribosomal RNA (254 nucleotides) under uncultured bacterium. Its description in RNAcentral is "partial 16S ribosomal RNA". It matches the Rfam family "Bacterial small subunit ribosomal RNA", at positions 524 to 776 of the family's 1533-position model. The record is from RNAcentral.
UACGUAGGGGGCAAGCGUUGUCCGGAUUUAUUGGGCGUAAAGAGCUCGUAGGCGGUUGGGCAAGUCACGUGUGAAAUCUCCACGCUCAACGUGGAGGCGCCACGUGAGACUGCCCUGACUCGAGUCCGGUAGGGGAGCGUGGAAUUCCCGGUGUAGCGGUGAAAUGCGCAGAGAUCGGGAGGAACACCCGUAGCGAAGGCGGGGCUCUGGGCCGGUACUGACGCUGAGGAGCGAAAGCGUGGGGAGCAAACAGG